This is an RNA transcript of Sceloporus undulatus (fence lizard), 4982 nucleotides long. It is a transcript of the gene named 1,4-alpha-glucan branching enzyme 1, with no coding region annotated. The record is from RefSeq and is a predicted model, not a curated record. The transcript has 18 exons. Lineage: Eukaryota; Metazoa; Chordata; Lepidosauria; Squamata; Phrynosomatidae.
GGGGUUGACCGGGCAGUGAGUCCGAAUCCUGUUUUGUUCCUGCGCCCAAGAUGGCUCUGUUAGGUCCGCUGGUGCCUGAGCUGCAGAGGCUGCUGGAGAAAGACCCCUACUUGGCUCCUUUUGAGCAGGACUUCCAGCGCAGGUAUGGUACAUUUCAUCGCAUCUUGAAGAGUGUUGAAGAUGCUGAAGGUGGCCUUGACAAAUUUACAAAGAGUUACCUAACAUUUGGAGUCAACAAAUUUGUGGAUGGCGGAAUAUACUGUAAAGAAUGGGCUCCUGGAGCAGAAGCAGUGUUUCUCACUGGAGACUUCAAUAACUGGAAUCCAUUUUCCCAUCCAUACAAGAAAAUAGAUUUUGGGAAAUGGGAGUUGUUUAUCCCACCUGGACCAGGUGGAUUUUCUCCUGUGGCUCAUGGAUCAAAACUGAAGGUGGUGAUACGAACUCCAAGUGGAGAGCUCCUGUAUCGUAUUUCUCCUUGGGCAAGAUAUGUAGUUCGUGAAGGGGCCAGUGUCAACUAUGACUGGAUGUACUGGGAUCCACCAGUCACAUACAGGCGGAGACAUCCUGUUCCUAAGAAGCCUAAAAGCUUAAGGAUCUAUGAAUCUCAUGUGGGAAUUGCUUCCCCUGAAGGGAAAAUAGCUUCAUAUAAAAACUUCACACACAAUGUACUUCCGAAAGUCAAGGAUCUUGGUUAUAACUGUAUUCAGUUGAUGGCUGUGAUGGAACAUGCUUAUUAUGCUAGUUUUGGUUAUCAGAUCACAAGCUUUUUUGCUGCGUCAAGCCGUUACGGACCUCCUGAUGACUUGAAGGAACUUAUAGAUGUUGCUCACUCUAUGGGAAUUACCGUCUUGUUGGAUGUUGUACAUAGUCAUGCAUCUAAAAAUUCUGAAGAUGGACUUAAUCACUUUGAUGGUACAGACAAUGCGUUUUUCCACUCCGGUCCUAGAGGAAUACAUGCACUCUGGGAUAGUCGACUCUUUGACUAUGCAAACUGGGAAGUCUUGCGGUUUCUUCUUUCCAACUUAAGGUGGUGGAUAGAAGAGUAUGCAUUUGAUGGCUUUCGAUUUGAUGGUGUAUCUUCUAUGCUAUAUCAUCAUCAUGGUAUUGGUGAAGCCUUUAGUGGAGAUUACAAUGAGUAUUUUGGUAUGCAUGUUGAUGAAGAUGCUUUGGCAUACCUAAUGUUGGCAAACUACAUGAUACAUUUCCUGCAUCCAGAAUGCAUAACAAUAGCAGAGGAUGUGUCUGGAAUGCCAGCUCUUGGCUGCCCAGUUAAAGAAGGAGGAUGUGGAUUUGAUUAUCGACUGGCCAUGGCAAUUCCUGACAAAUGGAUUCAGAUAAUUAAGGAGAUUAAGGAUGAAGACUGGGAUAUGGGAAAUAUAGUAUUCACGCUAACAAACAGGCGAUAUGGAGAGAAAUAUAUUGCAUAUGCAGAGAGUCAUGACCAGGCCCUUGUUGGUGAUAAGACUUUGGCAUUUCGGCUGAUGGAUGCAGAAAUGUAUAACCAUAUGAGUAUUCUCACACCUCUUACUCCAAUUAUUGAUCGAGGCAUACAGAUACAUAAAAUGAUCCGACUCAUUACUCAUGCACUUGGAGGAGAAGGUUAUCUCAACUUCAUGGGUAAUGAGUUUGGGCAUCCAGAAUGGUUAGAUUUCCCCCGAAAAGGAAAUAAUGAAAGUUACCAUUAUGCUAGAAGGCAGUUCCAUUUAGCUGAUGACCAACUUCUUCGCUAUAGAUUCCUCAAUGAAUUUGACAGAGAUAUGAACAAACUGGAAGAAAAAUUUGGCUGGCUUUCAGCUCCUCCGGCUUACAUCAGUGAGAAGCAUGAAUCAGAUAAAGUUAUUGCAUUUGAGAGGGCAAAUCUCCUGUUUAUAUUCAAUUUCCAUCCAUCUAAAAGUUAUACAGAUUACAGAGUGGGUGCUGAAAAACCAGGAAAGUAUAAAAUUGUACUGGAUUCUGAUGCUUCAAAAUAUGGAGGGCAUAAUAGACUGGACCAUAACACAGAUUUCUUCACUCAAAAUUACUACCAUAACAAUAAACCUAAUUCUCUUCUGCAACCCAGUUCACUGAAUGAAAGUGAUGGCCAAUCCAGAGGACAGCUGCAAACAUACUUCCUGGAGAUUUGUUGGAGUUAUUUAUCACAGAAACCUUAGGGGGAAAACACUCUGUUCACUGAGGAGAGCCGAGAUGCAUUGGACAUGCUACAGUCUGGUUCGAUGAAGAUCAGCUGUUCUUUUCCCUUUUUUCCUAAAGCUGUUUGCUUUACACCUUUCAUUCUGGUUGGCGACUAUAAAAGCUUUUCAUGCCGUCAGUCAGGCUCUCGCUUGGAGAUAACAUGGCUGAAAAUAGCAUUAUAUUAGGAAUGCCAAGAGAAGGAGGAGGAGGAGGAGGAGAGUCUUAAAACACUGGCGUUGUCAAAAAGGAAGCCUGCAAUCUUCACUCAUCUGCUGACUCUUUUCUAAUUGCAUUGUUAUUGAGUUCAGUUUAUGUGAUCAAUUGCAUUCAGCAGUCUGUAAACUACCACAUAUCAAGGUGUACAUUCCAAGCAGAGUGGCCUUUGUGCUUCAGAAUGUGGAUAUUCAGAACUGAAGACUCAACAUCUUAGAACUGGAUCCAUUGCUGCAAGACCAAGCAAUGUUUGAUGCUAGUGGUAUUGUUGUAUUUACUGGUUUGAGAACAUUUCAAUAUGAAGAGAUGUUAGUACUGGUUGAAACAUGUAGUUCUUAUUUAUUUAUAAUUACAAAGAUUUUCAGUUGGGAAAUGCUCAUUCAAAGCAAACAUAUGUAAAAGCAGAAGAAAGAAAACGGCACUGUUAACAGCUCAGUGUUACAGAAUUAGACGUCAGCACAUCUGGUAUCCUCAAAGUAAUGUUUCCAGUAUUUUAUCAGGAAUAAUGUGGAGUAUUUCAAAAUGCAUGAUCUGUCUGCAGGAAUUUUCUACAAUAUAAUUUAUAAUUUGCUGUUCAAGACAUUUUUCCUUAAACCACAUUUUGUAUUAGAGAUAAGGAAAUUUGUUUAUCAUUAUUAUUCUUUUGCUAUACAUUUCUGAAACACCUACUUACUUCAUUAACACUAGAUUUCAAGUUAUUAAGCUGCCUUGUUUGUUUGUUUUUUAAACCCAUUUUUCAAAGCCUUGCAGGGCUUCAUGAAAAUGUAUGUCAGAAAAUGAUUUGCAAGAACCAUAAAAUUAGAUUCCAGUUACAGAAGGGCACCAACUGUCAUCUUUGAAACAAACCACUGACAAUAAGACAUUGCCAUUUUGGAUUUACUGCUGUAGAGUUGUAUGGAAAUGCUUUGAAACUGACGCUUAAAUAUUUUCCUUGUUUCAUAUCAUUGAAAAAUUAAAAUAUUAAAUAUACCCCUCCAAAAAAACCAAAACAUUUUUUGCCUAUAAUGUUGUCAAUCAUGUGUUCUAAGGUGAACCUUAGAAGAUAAAUUAGACAAUUGCUGAAUAAAAGCAUUUUGAGGGUCAUGUCUUAUUAAUCUUGCAAGUAUAACCAUAUCUGUAGGGCAAAGGUCCUUUGGCCCCUCCAGAACAUUUGGGCUUCAGUUUCCACAAUCCUUUACCAUUGUCCAUCCUGGAAGGCUUUUUGAUUGUACAUUUCUGCAAUUAAUUCCUAUCUCUGCAAUUAAUGUUAAAUAACCUAGGAAGUUACAAAAGUUGGACAAUCAAAGUUUUCACACCUUAGCUAAUAAGAGUCAUAUCAUUUUCAAGCAUAUUGAAAAUGAAAUAAGUUGAUAUAUUCUUUACUAUCAUUAAUGCUACCUUUGUAUUAAAGUAGGUUAUACUCAUUGGCACAAACAUCACUUUUAGCAUCCACCUUAUGCAAAGGGCACUUGUAGCACCUUUGGGACUAACUGUGUGAAAGAAAUUGUAGUAUAAGCUUCCAUAGACGAAAUAUUAUGCUACAACUUUUUUUUGCAGAGUUAGUUUCAAAGGUGCUACAAAUUUCCUUUGCAUACUGAUAUCCCAGACUAACACAGCUAUUUCUUUGAAUUCUAGCAUCCUUCUUUAUUACAUUGCUUCACCUUUCAGAUGAAAAUAUUUUGUUUUGUUCUGUUCUCCAUUCAUAAAGAUAGAGAGGAAAUUGUUAUUUUAAUCCAGCUGAGUAACACAUUUGAAAUGAUGGUAUGAAACAACUGAUUCUUCUAAAAUGAGAAUUAUGCCAUAAGUGUGCAAGAUAAAUCAUGGAAUCAAAGAUAACAUUUCACAUAAUUUAAAAAAAACUUCACCAGGUAAAAUGUUUACAGAAGAAUACUUGUUGACAUUUAUUUGGACUAGCCAUUUUGCCUCACUUCGUAAAACAAACAUACUUGUGCCAGUAUACACAGUGCCUUCUUAAUACUUCACAAUAGCAAUCAUUCUGGAUCAAGGCACUUAACGGCAUUAUGAUCCACUGGCUGAACUGCAUGGCAGUAGCUUCUCUUGUGCAUCUCCAGUGUAGUUUCUAUGUUGUGAAUAAAUGGGCAGGAUGGCUUACAUGGAUCAUUCCUACAUUUGCUGGAUGUAUCUACUAAGCCAGGCCUCUCAACAUCUAUCUGUUUAUAUAGCCAUCAAAACAUAAAUCUCCCUUCACUCUUUCUAGGACACAGGUAUUUGUAAACAUGAUAGCAUCUAUAGUAGUUAGUUAAACAUGACUGUAAAAUAGUAAAUGUUGCCGUGUUGAUUAAUAUCCCAACUGUUAGUCAACUGCCAAUUAAUUGUCAGUUUGUUAAAGAACCAAGUUCCUGUUCUCACAGUUAAAAUCACAGUGGGUCUAUAAUUCUUUUACAGAUUUUAAAUUAAAAUUGAGAGAAAUAGCUUUAUAAAUAUGUGAUAUACUUUUGUUAAAUUGAUUUAUUAAUAUAUAAUGAAAAUUUUCUGGCCCUAUGUCUGGACAUGUAAAGGAUAUUGUCUUUUUCAAACUUUUGUGGAAGAAAAGCAAUAAAUAUGUAAAGUGAUUAGACACUAUCAAUGGCAUGCAAAUAAACAGAUAUAUAGAAAUA